This 504-nucleotide ribosomal RNA is filed under the name uncultured bacterium. RNAcentral describes it as "partial 16S small subunit ribosomal RNA". It matches the Rfam family "Bacterial small subunit ribosomal RNA", at positions 33 to 524 of the family's 1533-position model. The record is from RNAcentral.
ACGCUUCUGUGUGCUUAUCAUGCAUGUUGUCUGGAAUAUGUUAGCUUGCUAAUAUAUUUAGUAGCAAAUGGGUGAGUAACACGUACCUAACCUACCUUUUGGACCGGGAUAACCAUUGGAAACAGCGGCUAAUACCAGAUACGAUAAAAAAAUGCAUGUUUUUUUAUUAAAAGAAGCCUUUAAAGCUUCACCAAAAAAUGGGGGUGCGCAACAUUAGUUAGUUGGUAGGGUAAAGGCCUACCAAGACGAUGAUGUUUAGCGGGGCCAAGAGGCUGUACCGCCACACUGGGAUUGAGAUACGGCCCAGACUCCUACGGGAGACAGCAGUAAGGAAUAUUCCACAAUGAGCGAAAGCUUGAUGGAGCGACACAGAGUGCAGGAUGAAGUCUUUAGGGAUGUAAACUGCUGUUGUAAGGGAAGAAAAAACUAGAUAGGAAAUGAUUUAGUCUUGACGGUACCUUAUUAGAAAGUGACGGCAAACUAUGUGCCAGCAGCCGCGGUAAU